Molecule: long non-coding RNA, 922 nt
Organism: Cygnus atratus (black swan)
Lineage: Eukaryota; Metazoa; Chordata; Aves; Anseriformes; Anatidae
Exons: 2
Source: RefSeq, a predicted model, not a curated record
GGGAAAAGCAAACAGGGCGGAGAGGGACACGUGUGCGCGAGCAUGGAGGGGACAACAAGCAGGGCGACAAAAGUAAAGGCAGUGGGAGAGGAGGGAAUGAACUCCAAAGCCGAGGGCUGGCUCCCAGCACCUCCCUGCCCCUGCCACAAGACCUUUUGUCAGGAGAAGUCCUCCUGACCUCAGCAGAUGCCACAGCAGGUUUUAUCUGUGAGUCACUGAGGAUUAUCAGCCACAAGCUGGCCAGACAGCAGAGAGAUAUAUAAGCAACUAAAAUGGAAGAGACAUUUCUAAAUGGCUUGUAAAAAAAAAACAACAACAACAACAACAACAACAAAAUCAACAAAAAUGACAAAGCAACACUGACUUUUAGCUGCUUAUCAGAAGACACUGAACUAUAGGGAAUUUAGGUUUAGGGAAGGACAGCAUAUUCUAUAAAUAAACACUGUAUGAUUUAAAAGAUAUAGCUUACAUGUGAAUCCUGUCCUAGACUAAGUUAGUAUUUCUUUCUCAGACAGAGAGGGAUGAGUUCUCCUACAGCUAUUCAAAAAACACAAUUUGAUCCCUUCUGCUCUACCCCUUCCUCACUCUUAGCCUGACCUAUGUGCAUUUACCCAUAAACUGCAUUUUCUGCAGACUUGGCAAGUCUCUCUUUAAAGAAAGUGGUCUCUUGAAGAUCAGGUGAAAGACAUAUUCUUCAGCCUGACAUGAUCCUGCAAAGCCUCCAUCUCCAGGUGAUCUUCCCACCACUAGCCCUGUGCCAGCCACAGGGAGCAUGAAGAUGCAGCUUCCCUUCUGCUGGGGCAGGAGCCCCAGGCCCCUGGGGAAGGCAUGGCAGCUGGUCUCCCUGGUGUCCAUGAGCUUCUGAAAAUUAUGUGAAGUUGCUGAGAACCUCUUUCUGAAUGAAUAAAUGAAUGCUGGUUAA